RNAcentral lists this ribosomal RNA (406 nucleotides) under uncultured bacterium. RNAcentral's name for it is "partial 16S ribosomal RNA". It matches the Rfam family "Bacterial small subunit ribosomal RNA", at positions 30 to 526 of the family's 1533-position model. The record is from RNAcentral.
AUUGAACGCUGGCGGCAGGCUUAACACAUGCAAGUCGAGCGAGCGGCGGACGGGUGAGUAAUGUCUGGGAAACUGCCUGAUGGAGGGGUAUAACUACUGGAAACGGUAGCUAAUACCGCAUACCAUCAGAUGUGCCCAGAUGGGAUUAGCUAGUAGGUGGGGUAAUGGCUCACCUAGGCCACGAUCCCUAGCUGGUCUGAGAGGAUGACCAGCCACACUGUAACUGAGACACGGUCCAGACUCCGACGGGAGGCAGCAGUGGGGAAUAUGGCACAAUGGGCGCAAGCCUGAUGCAGCCAUGCCGCGUGUAUGAAGAAGGCCUUCGGGUUGUAAAGUACUUUCAGCGAGGAGGCGUUACUCGCAGAAGAAGCACCGGCUAAAGACGAGACAGCAGCCGCGGUAAUAC